Molecule: ribosomal RNA, 98 nt
Filed under: uncultured marine bacterium
Lineage: Bacteria
Description: partial small subunit ribosomal RNA
Rfam family: Bacterial small subunit ribosomal RNA
Source: RNAcentral
CAACGCGCAAAACCUUACCAACCCUUGACAUCCUGUGCUAUAUCCAGAGAUGGAUAGUUCCCUUCGGGGACGCAGUGACAGGUGUUGCAUGGCUGUCG